This is a long non-coding RNA of Oncorhynchus tshawytscha (Chinook salmon), 1506 nucleotides long. The record is from Ensembl. Lineage: Eukaryota; Metazoa; Chordata; Actinopteri; Salmoniformes; Salmonidae.
GCCCGGAGACCAAUGGUGCGUUCUCGACACCUCGGAACUUCAACCUAGCUCGGAAUUCGGGAAUCUCCAACCUCCGAAUUCAGUGCUUUCAAAACAAUUGGGAACUAAUAAAAAAAACAUUUCUGACUGGAAAAAUGAGUUUUGAACGGUCAUCCAACUUGGAAUUACUAUUCGUAAACUCGGGCGUCAUGCCGCUUUCAAAACAAUUGAGAACUCUGGCUAAAAUUAGCUCGGACUGGGAAAAAUAAUUUUGAAUUCCAAGUCGGAACUCUUUCUCCGUCGUGAUUUGACCUAGUUUUUUUCCGAGUUCCCAGUUGUCUUGAAAGCGCCAUCGUCAUUAGAACUCCGACUUCUCUGACAUGAAGGUCACUGACGUCCCGAUCCUAAGAUUUCCCCCCCCAUUCUGAGCUCGUUUUUUCCGAAUCCCCAAUUCGCUUGAAUGCACCAAAAGUUUAUAUAGCGCAAAAGACUGGCCAGCCACAUGCUUGCUCAUUCGAUUAGUCUUGUGAUCGACCUGAAGACGCCUUUCUCAAUGUCGAAGUUAUGGCUUAGAAAUGCUUCAUUGGUGUUUAACGUUAGUUAUUGGUACACUGCUGCCACUUGAGUCUUGCAAUGCUCCUGAACUGGUCAUUAACUCCAAGUAGCUAAAUUGGUGUUGUGGAGGGUUGGGCCUUGCAGAACCAUGCACGUGGGGAACUGGAGAAACGUAAAACCAUUCCGGGGUUCUAGAUUCGGGAGCCCACUCCUUCUGGACCUGGCCAGGGCGGUAUGAACUGGAGCAUACCCCAUUGACUGCACAUGGCUGGAGUGAUACCGCCCCAAUGAGUUGAUGACUAGAAGACUCACGGUAAGACUACCACACCCAUUUCACCUAGACUUUACUUUGACAUUUUAUCGUUGGUUUCUGUCUAGUCUGGUUGUGAUGAAUACUUAACUGAAAAUAGCUGGAAUUACCGUCAGAUUGUUUAGUGCUGAAAUUCGGUUUUCUGAACCUGACCUGGCAGUUACUUUAUCUACUUUAGUUUCUUCCCCACUCUUGAGCUGCUUCUGAAUAGAUGAUAGUAUUCAUAUUCUCAUAACCCUUGUGAGUUUGUUUUUAACAGGUGUUAAACCACCCCAAUGGGUUGAUGGCAAGUAGACUUAACCUGGUAAGGUGGUGUCCCUUUGAAUAACAUCCCUGCAAGUUCUCCCUGGACUGGACCUGUGGACGAUUCUCUUCCACGUGGCCGGAGUUUCCAAGACGGUCGGUCCUUUCUUCCUCUGGAAGUGAUCAACUGGAAGGAAUUGUGUUGUGUGGUAGCCCAUAUGGGACUCACCUGGGACAUGGAUACCUGAAGACCGAAGGCUCAACAUUGUUAAUAAAUAUCAUGAGCAGCAGUGGUUUCCUUUGUCUUUUCCAUGUGUGUUCUGCUUUGUUUGUGAGGUUUUGCUGAGUAAUGGUGUUUGUCUGUGACUAUAGCAAAGACGGUCAUUCUUUUUAACUUCAAUAAAUCGGUUUUAACCAAG